This 301-nucleotide ribosomal RNA is filed under the name uncultured bacterium. Its description in RNAcentral is "partial 16S ribosomal RNA". It matches the Rfam family "Bacterial small subunit ribosomal RNA", at positions 509 to 809 of the family's 1533-position model. The record is from RNAcentral.
CAGUAGCCACGGUAAUACGAAGGGUGCAAGCGUUACUCGGAAUUACUGGGCGUAAAGCGUGCGUAGGUGGUGGUUUAAGUCCGUUGUGAAAGCCCUGGGCUCAACCUGGGAAUUGCAGUGGAUACUGGGUCACUAGAGUGUGGUAGAGGAUAGUGGAAUUUCCGGUGUAGCAGUGAAAUGCGUAGAGAUCUGGAGGAAUACCGGUGGCGAAGGCGGCCCCCUGGACGAAGACUGACGCUCAGGUACGAAAGCGUGGGGAGCAAACAGGAUUAGAUACCCCGGUAGUCCCUGUCUCUUAUAA